AGUAAAGUAAACUAAUGGUAAGUUAUUAGGCUCAUAACCUAACUAUAAAGGUUCGAUUCCUUUCUUUACUA
RNAcentral lists this transfer RNA (71 nucleotides) under Eirene ceylonensis. RNAcentral describes it as "tRNA-Met". It matches the Rfam family "tRNA". Rfam says of the family: Transfer RNA (tRNA) molecules are approximately 80 nucleotides in length. Lineage: Eukaryota; Metazoa; Cnidaria; Hydrozoa; Leptothecata; Eirenidae. The record is from RNAcentral.